GACGAACGCUGGCGGCGUGCCUAAUACAUGCAAGUCGAGCGGAACCAUUGGAGCUUGCUCCUUUGGUUUAGCGGCGGACGGGUGAGUAACACGUGGGCAACCUGCCCUGCAGAUCGGGAUAACUCCGGGAAACCGGUGCUAAUACCGAAUAGUUUGCGGCCUCUCAUGAGGCUGCACGGAAAGACGGUUUCGGCUGUCACUUCAGGAUGGGCCCGCGGCGCAUUAGCUAGUUGGUGAGGUAACGGCUCACCAAGGCCACGAUGCGUAGCCGACCUGAGAGGGUGAUCGGCCACACUGGGACUGAGACACGGCCCAGACUCCUACGGGAGGCAGCAGUAGGGAAUCUUCCGCAAUGGACGAAAGUCUGACGGAGCAACGCCGCGUGAGUGAAGAAGGUUUUCGGAUCGUAAAACUCUGUUGUGAGGGAAGAACAAGUACCAAGUAACUACUGGUACCUUGACGGUACCUCACCAGAAAGCCACGGCUAACUACGUG
Molecule: ribosomal RNA, 495 nt
Filed under: uncultured bacterium
Lineage: Bacteria
Description: partial 16S ribosomal RNA
Rfam family: Bacterial small subunit ribosomal RNA
Source: RNAcentral